UAAGGAGGUGUUUGUUUGGAA
Molecule: microRNA, 21 nt
Filed under: Zea mays
Lineage: Eukaryota; Viridiplantae; Streptophyta; Magnoliopsida; Poales; Poaceae
Description: microRNA miR-3015
Source: RNAcentral